AACGUAGGAGGCGAGCGUUAUCCGGAGUUACUGGGCGCAAAGCGCAUGUAGGCGGUUGGAUAAGUUGCGUGUGAAAGCUCCUGGCUAAACUAGGAGAGGACAGGCAAGACUGUUCGGCUAGAGGGUGGUAGAGGGGCACAGAAUUCGGGGUGUAGCGGUGAAAUGUGUAGAGAUCCCGAGGAAUACCAGUGGUGAAGACGGUGCCCUGGGCCAUACCUGACGCUGAGAUGCGAAAGCGUGGGGAGCGAACGGG
Molecule: ribosomal RNA, 253 nt
Filed under: uncultured bacterium
Lineage: Bacteria
Description: partial 16S ribosomal RNA
Rfam family: Bacterial small subunit ribosomal RNA
Source: RNAcentral